GGUCCUGUGUGGCUGUUGGUAGAGCAUGGUGUUUGCAACGCCAGGGUUGUGGGUUCAAUUCCCACGGGGGACCA
Salmo salar (Atlantic salmon) is the source of this 74-nucleotide non-coding RNA. NCBI's taxonomy places the organism in Eukaryota, Metazoa, Chordata, Actinopteri, Salmoniformes, Salmonidae. The record is from Rfam.